This 500-nucleotide ribosomal RNA is filed under the name uncultured Glomeromycotina. Its description in RNAcentral is "partial small subunit ribosomal RNA". It matches the Rfam family "Eukaryotic small subunit ribosomal RNA", at positions 591 to 1092 of the family's 1831-position model. Lineage: Eukaryota; Fungi; Glomeromycota. The record is from RNAcentral.
CCAAUAGCGUAUAUUAAAGUUGUUGCAGUUAAAAAGCUCGUAGUUGAAUUUCGGGAUCGACGGAUCGGUCGCGCCUCCGGUGUGUACUGGUCCUGUCGGUUUCUCCCUUCUGACGAACCACGAUGUCAUUAAUUUGGUGUCGUGGGAAAUCAGGACUGUUACUUUGAAAAAAUUAGAGUGUUUAAAGCAAGCAUUAGCUUGAAUACAUUAGCAUGGAAUAAUGAAAUAGGACGUUUGAUCUUAUUUUGUUGGUUUCUAGGAUCGACGUAAUGAUUAAUAGGGAUAGUUGGGGGCAUUAGUAUUCAAUUGUCAGAGGUGAAAUUCUUGGAUUUAUUGAAGACUAACUACUGCGAAAGCAUUUGCCAAGGAUGUUUUCAUUAAUCAAGAACGAAAGUUAGGGGAUCGAAGACGAUCAGAUACCGUCGUAGUCUUAACCAUAAACUAUGCCGACUAGGGAUCGGACGAUGUUAAUUUUUUAAUGACUCAUUCGGCGCCUUACG